AUUGAACGCUGGCGGCAGGCCUAACACAUGCAAGUCGAGCGGAUGAAGGGAGCUUGCUCCUGGAUUCAGCUGCGGACGGGUGAGUAAUGCCUAGGAAUCUGCCUUGUAGUGGGGGAUAACGUCCGGAAACGGGCGCUAAUACCGCAUACGUCCUGAUGUAGAAAGUGGGGGAUCUUCGGACCUCACGCUAUCAGAUGAGCCUAGGUCGGAUUAGCUAGUUGGUGGGGUAAAGGCCUACCAAGGCGACGAUCCGUAACUGGUCUGAGAGGAUGAUCAGUCACACUGGAACUGAGACACGGUCCAGACUCCUACGGGAGGCAGCAGUGGGGAAUAUUGGACAAUGGGCGAAAGCCUGAUCCAGCCAUGCCGCGUGUGUGAAGAAGGUCUUCGGAUUGUAAAGCACUUUAAGUUGGGAGGAAGGGCAGUAAGUUAAUACCUUGAUGUUUUGACGUUACCAACAGAAUAAGCACCGGCUAACUUCGUG
Molecule: ribosomal RNA, 484 nt
Filed under: uncultured bacterium
Lineage: Bacteria
Description: partial 16S ribosomal RNA
Rfam family: Bacterial small subunit ribosomal RNA
Source: RNAcentral